This is a non-coding RNA of Podarcis lilfordi (Lilford's wall lizard), 74 nucleotides long. NCBI's taxonomy places the organism in Eukaryota, Metazoa, Chordata, Lepidosauria, Squamata, Lacertidae. The record is from the annotation of a GenBank genome assembly.
CCUCGGGUGGCCUAGAGGGGCAGAGCAUGUGCUUUGCAUGCAGAAGGUCCCAGGUUCAAUCCCUGGCCUUGGGC